AAUGGCUGUCGUCAGCUCGUGCCGUGAGGUGUUAGGUUAAGUCCUGCAACGAGCGCAACCCCUGUCACUAGUUGCCAUCAUUAAGUUGGGGACUCUAGUGAGACUGCCUACGCAAGUAGAGAGGAAGGUGGGGAUGACGUCAAAUCAUCACGGCCCUUACGCCUUGGGCCACACACGUAAUACAAUGGCCGGUACAGAGGGCAGCUACACAGCGAUGUGAUGCAAAUCUCGAAAGCCGGUCUCAGUUCGGAUUGGAGUCUGCAACUCGACUCUAUGAAGCUGGAAUCGCUAGUAAUCGCGCAUCAGCCAUGGCGCGGUGAAUACGUUCCCGGGCCUUGUACACACCGCCCGUCAAGCCAUGGAAGUCUGGGGUACCUGAAGUCGGUGACCGUAACAGGAGCUCCUAGGUGACCGU
Molecule: ribosomal RNA, 415 nt
Filed under: bacterium 14S111
Lineage: Bacteria
Description: bacterial SSU rRNA
Rfam family: Bacterial small subunit ribosomal RNA
Source: RNAcentral